CUUUGCACAAAACUCUCUUGCUUCUGAAAUAAACAAACACAGGCGGCGAGUCCGGAGCUCUCUCGAACUCUCGCUGCUACAGUCAAGGCGAAAAGGGGGCGAAGUAGAGGUUGGUGCUUGCCGCCAGCGAGGCCGCGGUUCCCUGUCGCCUCCGAGCGCCUUUUAGACACCGGGAGGUGGCGGGGAACCGGCAUCUCCGUCUGGUUGGCAUGUAUAGUUCUAGAUCCUUCUAAAGGUUUGGUUCCUGGCGACGGUGGUGAGACGGGGCGGCGCCGUCGCUUGGUAAUAAGUCCCUCCGGUCCUCUCCUCGUGUGAGCGGCGUCAGCUCCGCCGUCAUCCGCGGACUGGUGAGGGCGGGGUGGUCGGACACUGGAGUUCCAGCCGUUCGGCACCCUGGUGUUGGAGUCGAGGGAUGGACGUCUGCCGUUUCGGCGUCCCGUGGUGGCGACAGCG
Molecule: long non-coding RNA, 453 nt
Filed under: Hordeum vulgare
Lineage: Eukaryota; Viridiplantae; Streptophyta; Magnoliopsida; Poales; Poaceae
Description: long non-coding RNA (HVUL_LNC012071)
Source: RNAcentral